CCUACGGGAGGCUGCAGUGGGGAAUAUUGCACAAUGGGCGCAAGCCUGAUGCAGCCAUGCCGCGUGUGUGAAGAAGGCCUUCGGGUUGUAAAGCACUUUCAGCGGGGAGGAAGGCGGUGAGGUUAAUAACCUCAUCGAUUGACGUUACCCGUAGAAGAAGCACCGGCUAACUCCGUGCCAGCAGCCGCGGUAAUACGGAGGGUGCAAGCGUUAAUCGGAAUUACUGGGCGUAAAGCGCACGCAGGCGGUCUGUCAAGUCGGAUGUGAAAUCCCCGGGCUCAACCUGGGAACUGCAUUCGAAACUGGCAGGCUAGAGUCUUGUAGAGGGGGGUAGAAUUCCAGGUGUAGCGGUGAAAUGCGUAGAGAUCUGGAGGAAUACCGGUGGCGAAGGCGGCCCCCUGGACAAAGACUGACGCUCAGGUGCGAAAGCGUGGGGAGCAAACAGGAUUAGAUACCCCAGUAGUC
This 465-nucleotide ribosomal RNA is filed under the name uncultured Klebsiella sp. RNAcentral's name for it is "bacterial SSU rRNA". It matches the Rfam family "Bacterial small subunit ribosomal RNA", at positions 338 to 795 of the family's 1533-position model. The record is from RNAcentral. Lineage: Bacteria; Pseudomonadati; Pseudomonadota; Gammaproteobacteria; Enterobacterales; Enterobacteriaceae.